AUUGAACGCUGGCGGCAGGCCUAACACAUGCAAGUCGGACGGUAGCACAGAGGGGCUUGCUCCUUGGGUGACGAGUGGCGGACGGGUGAGUAAUGUCUGGGGAUCUGCCCGAUAGAGGGGGAUAACCACUGGAAACGGUGGCUAAUACCGCAUAACGUCGCAAGACCAAAGAGGGGGACCUUCGGGCCUCUCACUAUCGGAUGAACCCAGAUGGGAUUAGCUAGUAGGCGGGGUAAUGGCCCACCUGGGCGACGAUCCCUAGCUGGUCUGAGAGGAUGACCAGCCACACUGGAACUGAGACACGGUCCAGACUCCUACGGGAGGCAGCAGUGGGGAAUAUUGCACAAUGGGCGCAAGCCUGAUGCAGCCAUGCCGCGUGUAUGAAGAAGGCCUUCGGGUUGUAAAGUACUUUCAGCGGGGAGGAAGGCGAUGCGGUUAAUAACCGCGUCGAUUGACGUUACCCGCAGAAGAAGCACCGGCUAACUCCGUGCCAGCCGCCGCCGUAA
RNAcentral lists this ribosomal RNA (506 nucleotides) under uncultured bacterium. RNAcentral describes it as "partial 16S ribosomal RNA". It matches the Rfam family "Bacterial small subunit ribosomal RNA", at positions 29 to 523 of the family's 1533-position model. The record is from RNAcentral.